Plectropomus leopardus (leopard coralgrouper) is the source of this 1085-nucleotide long non-coding RNA. RefSeq lists it as uncharacterized. NCBI's taxonomy places the organism in Eukaryota, Metazoa, Chordata, Actinopteri, Perciformes, Serranidae. The record is from RefSeq and is a predicted model, not a curated record.
UUGUCAGUUUGUCUGUGCUUCUCUAUGGGCUUCUGCAUCUGUGCUUAAAAAAAGAAAUUGUGUACAUUUGUGAAGAAAUUAGUGUGCAGGAGAACUACAGCGGCUGAUACAAAAACACAAAUGGCUCUUUCUAGAACCUUGUGUUUAGUUUGUCCACUCUGGGACACCGUAGAAGCAUGACGGUACAACACGGCGGGUGCUGAGGAAGAGGACCUGCUGCACAUAAAGAUAUGGACCACUCAUUCUAAGUGAGGAAGAGGAGGAGGAGAAGAAACCCCAGGACGAUAAUUUCCAUUCCCAGGAUAGGAUAAGGUCUGAGGAAUGAGAGCUGUCUGUGUACUACACACACCAGUUUGGAACUCCUUUCAUUCACAAGUUGAAGAUAAAAACUGAGGAGCUGUUCCAGGUCUUGAUUUCAAGACUGGAUUCUUGGCCCCAAACCAGUGGAGAAUGACUCAGAGGAAUCAAGAGCAGAAAUAGAGGAGGAGCGGUGGCUGAGCAUUUGCAGUAAGCUGAUGGAGAAAGAUGGGCUGAAGAUGGAGAAGGAAAAGGACGGCCCACUGCCCGGUUUCUACCGGGAGGACGGAGGCUGCCACUGCCCAUCCACCCCUCCUCCUCCGAGAAGCACAAUGGCGCCAUCUUGCAUUGGAGAAAAAAGGAUAUCCACUCAUAGUGUGACCUUCGCCUGCCCCGUGACCCCUUAUGCCACAUCCCUCUAAAUUUUCACUUUGUCACAACAGUGGUUCAGAUCAGUUUUUGACACAUAUCUCAGUUGUUGUCUCUUUGCUGUAGUGAAGUGUGAGCUAAAGUAUUUUUCUGUUUUAUAUAAAACACAUUGCUUAAUAUGUAAAGUUUGUACUCAUUUUGCUAAGAAAUGCUUUGAUAACUUAUUAAAGAUAUACUAUGUUCACUAAUACACUGCUGCACACACCUAGUGGCUCAUAAGUGAUCAUGAAAAGUGAUUACUUUUGUAUGAGUCUUGUUUUUUUAGAAAAAUCCUGCAUAGAAUGGUUUUAAAAAUAUAUGUAGAAAAAUCUUAUAUUGUCAGUCAUUCCAGAUACAUUGCACUGUGUUAUUGUCUACUG